This 77-nucleotide transfer RNA is filed under the name Aliivibrio fischeri. RNAcentral's name for it is "tRNA-Arg". It matches the Rfam family "tRNA". Rfam says of the family: Transfer RNA (tRNA) molecules are approximately 80 nucleotides in length. Their secondary structure includes four short double-helical elements and three loops (D, anti-codon, and T loops). RNAcentral also lists the same sequence under 6 other names. Lineage: Bacteria; Pseudomonadati; Pseudomonadota; Gammaproteobacteria; Vibrionales; Vibrionaceae. The record is from RNAcentral.
GCGCUAGUAGCUCAGCUGGAUAGAGUACCUGGCUACGAACCAGGCGGUCAGAGGUUCGAAUCCUCUCUGGCGCACCA